AUUGAACGCUGGCGGCAUGCUUUACACAUGCAAGUCGAACGGCAGCGCGGGGCAACCUGGCGGCGAGUGGCGAACGGGUGAGUAAUACAUCGGAACGUACCCAGAAGUGGGGGAUAACGUAGCGAAAGUUACGCUAAUACCGCAUACGUUCUACGGAAGAAAGUGGGGGACCUUCGGGCCUCAUGCUUUUGGAGCGGCCGAUGUCUGAUUAGCUAGUUGGUGAGGUAAAGGCUCACCAAGGCGACGAUCAGUAGCUGGUCUGAGAGGACGACCAGCCACACUGGGACUGAGACACGGCCCAGACUCCUACGGGAGGCAGCAGUGGGGAAUUUUGGACAAUGGGCGCAAGCCUGAUCCAGCAAGGCCGCGUGAGUGAAGAAGGCCUUCGGGUUGUAAAGCUCUUUUGUCAGGGAAGAAACGGCUGAGGAUAAUACCUUCGGCUAAUGACGGUACCUGAAGAAUAAGCACCGGCUAACUACGU
RNAcentral lists this ribosomal RNA (481 nucleotides) under uncultured bacterium. Its description in RNAcentral is "partial 16S ribosomal RNA". It matches the Rfam family "Bacterial small subunit ribosomal RNA", at positions 30 to 506 of the family's 1533-position model. The record is from RNAcentral.